RNAcentral lists this long non-coding RNA (1816 nucleotides) under Nicotiana benthamiana. RNAcentral's name for it is "long non-coding RNA (NBEN_LNC026605)". Lineage: Eukaryota; Viridiplantae; Streptophyta; Magnoliopsida; Solanales; Solanaceae. The record is from RNAcentral.
CCCAUUUGAGUGUGUCAAAGUUACCUAAGAGCCUCAAUGGGACUCCGGGAAAUGCUCACACCCAAAUAUUCUAUUAGAAUAGGGACAAGUGCAGUGUGGAAGGGCCAACCCUCAGGUGUCCAAGUUUAGAGGGAGCUUAAAGGGUCCCAAGGCAAGGCUCACAAGAGGGGGGGGGAGGGGGGGAGGGGGGUAUAACUUAAAGACUAAGAAAGUGUGCAAGUGAAGAACAUAAUGCUAAAGGGAAAGGAGAAGGAAACAACUACAAAUAAGCACACAUAAGGGAUUUAGGGGAAUAGAGGGAUUGCAAAGAGCCUAUUACUUAGGCAAGGGCAGACUUUAGGCAUGCCCAAUAAUGGAGAGUGCUAGCAUACCUAUAAGCCUGCUAGAACACACAUUACUAGAGGCUAAGAUCCCAUGGGAUCAAGUUGAAUCAUGGACAAUAAUUUGCAGUAUUGCCAUGCUUCAAACCACAACUUAAACACAUAGGGGUAGGGGUUUUGGAUUCAUAGUAGAACAUGCAGAGAGAAACUUCAGCAUGCUAGAAUAAAUGUUGAACUAUAUAGAAACAGUAAACAAACAUGGAUAUAAAGGUAGUAAAUAAAUACAUUGUUGUAGUGCUGAAACCUUAAAUAAGGACAUACAAUUUUCAAAGAAGAAAAUAGAGUAAAGUAGGCAGCAAGACUUGUAAAUAGGCCAUAGUACAAGUAACAAGAGAGAAUACUUCUGAGUAUGAGCAUAAGUUCAGAAAGACUAUGAGUAUUGGUGUGUAGAAAAUACUAAGAGUCUUUGUGUGUUUUGUCAAUGAAAGAGUCAGGUAUUUAUUAGUGUGAAAAACAUGCAGAAAUAAGGUAAGAAAAUAAUUAAGGAACUGGGUAUCAAUUAAAACCAAUCAGUACAAUACUUCCUUUAAUUAAGGACUUCAGACUUAAACGGUAAUAAUAAAAAAUUAUUUAAGGAAAGAAACUCAAGAAGCAUCUUGUGCAAAGUAGGCAAUUAGGGGUAAAUACAUAGGGGUUUAUUUAGGGGAAGAAUUUUGAAAUACAUGGUUAAAACAAAAUAAGGUAAGAAUCAAUUAGUACAUAGUAAAUCAAGGAGUUAGAGGUAUGUAAUUAUUGGUCAUGAAUAAACCAAGUCAGAAAGGGCUAAGGAAAGUUUUUGACUCAAAUCGAGUAACAGGGAAAUCAACAAACAAGGAGAAAAAUCAGCUAGGCUUAUACAAAAGAGGCAUGACAUUAAUAAAAAUUGAAAGCCAUUUUAGAGGGGAGUUCAGCACAUAUAAAGAGAACACAAGUAUGCUAGGCUGAAUUUAGGGCAAAGAAAAACGUCAUGCAAUUGCAAAAUCAAUACGUAGUAAACUAUGGUAGUCACAUAGGUCAGCAAUGUAGACGAGAGAUAUUAUCAAAUGGCAUAGGUUCCAGUAGAAAGACCUUAGAAGAAUUUAGUAGGGAAUCAUAACCAUGUAAAGAAACAGAGGUCAAAGCCUAAUCGAGUAGUAGAUUUCAGAAACUCAAAAUAGGUUCAAAGGGGUUAGAGUUUGAAAUCAAACAAGUUCAGAGAUGAAGUACAAAUAAAUCAUACAGCCAAUGGUCUCAAAACUCGAAUGGAUCUCUAAAUUUAGGUUUCUUGCCAUCAAUCAAGUGCAGAGAUGCAAGGAGGAAAAUAUACUAUGAAACAAGUUCAGAGGUCUCAGAAAGGAACUUAGACCUUUAACAUGCUCUUUCAAUAGCGAAACUCACGAGAAACAUAGUCAAAAACAACAUAGGAAACACAGUAGAAGAACUAGUAAGAACACAGUAGAAAAAGCAUAUAAAGAAAC